RNAcentral lists this transfer RNA (69 nucleotides) under Ictidomys tridecemlineatus (thirteen-lined ground squirrel). RNAcentral's name for it is "Spermophilus tridecemlineatus (thirteen-lined ground squirrel) tRNA". It matches the Rfam family "tRNA". Rfam says of the family: Transfer RNA (tRNA) molecules are approximately 80 nucleotides in length. Their secondary structure includes four short double-helical elements and three loops (D, anti-codon, and T loops). The record is from Rfam by way of RNAcentral. Lineage: Eukaryota; Metazoa; Chordata; Mammalia; Rodentia; Sciuridae.
GGGGUUGUGGCUCAGUGGUAGAGCGCUUACCUGUCAUGCAUGAAGGCCUGGGUUCGAGCCUCAGCACCA